This 765-nucleotide ribosomal RNA is filed under the name uncultured Streptococcus sp. Its description in RNAcentral is "bacterial SSU rRNA". It matches the Rfam family "Bacterial small subunit ribosomal RNA", at positions 28 to 776 of the family's 1533-position model. Lineage: Bacteria; Bacillati; Bacillota; Bacilli; Lactobacillales; Streptococcaceae. The record is from RNAcentral.
GACGAACGCUGGCGGCGUGCCUAAUACAUGCAAGUAGAACGCUGAAGCUUGGUGCUUGCACCGAGCGGAUGAGUUGCGAACGGGUGAGUAACGCGUAGGUAACCUGCCUGGUAGCGGGGGAUAACUAUUGGAAACGAUAGCUAAUACCGCAUAAGAGUAGAUGUUGCAUGACAUUUGCUUAAAAGGUGCAAUUGCAUCACUACCAGAUGGACCUGCGUUGUAUUAGCUAGUUGGUGGGGUAACGGCUCACCAAGGCGACGAUACAUAGCCGACCUGAGAGGGUGAUCGGCCACACUGGGACUGAGACACGGCCCAGACUCCUACGGGAGGCAGCAGUAGGGAAUCUUCGGCAAUGGACGGAAGUCUGACCGAGCAACGCCGCGUGAGUGAAGAAGGUUUUCGGAUCGUAAAGCUCUGUUGUAAGAGAAGAACGAGUGUGAGAGUGGAAAGUUCACACUGUGACGGUAUCUUACCAGAAAGGGACGGCUAACUACGUGCCAGCAGCCGCGGUAAUACGUAGGUCCCGAGCGUUGUCCGGAUUUAUUGGGCGUAAAGCGAGCGCAGGCGGUUAGAUAAGUCUGAAGUUAAAGGCUGUGGCUUAACCAUAGUACGCUUUGGAAACUGUUUAACCUGAGUGCAAGAGGGGAGAGUGGAAUUCCAUGUGUAGCGGUGAAAUGCGUAGAUAUAUGGAGGAACACCGGUGGCGAAAGCGGCUUUCUGGCUUGUAACUGACGCUGAGGCUCGAAAGCGUGGGGAGCAAACAGG